UGCCCAAAUUUUGGGCGCUGGUGAUGCUGUCAGGGAGGUUGUUGUAGACGGCAGGCCCCAUGACAUGGGUGAGCUUGGUCGACUUGGUCAACUUGCGGCCCACGCCGACGAGCUUAUGGGCGUUACGGGUAUUGUAGUUGUGUACCAUACUAUGCGUUUUGUAUGCUGUUAGGUUUGACCGCACAUACACAGCCACCUGUAGGAUGACUAUAGCUGGGUCUAGCAGGAGUGUUGUGUGGUACUCGGGCGAUUAUUCUAACCGCGCGCUUCUGGAGACGGAAAACCCUUUCCCACUCAGCACAGCGUCCCCAUAGCUCCGCACCGUACUGGAUCAGCGAGUGCACUGUGGCAAAAUAGCACGAGCGCGCGACCUCAUCUGACACCAGCCUAGUUACCCGUCCUAGAGCAAAACACGCGCUGCCGAUUCUUCCGCUGAGUCUAUUAAUAUGAUGGUCCCACUUUAAACAGGUAUCUAUUUCAAACCCUAGAAAUCCGGUGGUACUUAAUUGGUUUAGAGCGGUCCCAUUUACAGAAACAGCAAGCAGUCUCGUGCUGCGGCCCGACAGGUUGAAAACUAGGUAGUGGGUCUUCUUUAGGUUUAACGCAAGACCAUUGACAUCAAACCACUGUGCAAGCUGCGCCGCGGUUUCGUUUAGUUUUGUUUCGAUCGAAUCCACCGAUUGCGCUGUGACGAUUGCAGCAACAUCAUCGGCGUACAUGAGGAUCUCUGCAGCCUUUAUUGCAUGUGGCAAAUCGUUCAGCAACAAGGAGAAUAAUAUAUUUGACACCGACGAACCCUGGGCUACGCCCAUGGUAGUUUCUAGUGGGUCCGACUUAGCCUUUCCACCGUCUCCGAUCACAAUUUGAGAUCUUUGCUGCAGAAGGCUCUCGAACAAGGAAAGUGUCGGGCCGCCGAUGCCAUAGUGCCUUAGCUUGCUGGUAAGGACUGCAUGGUCUGCGACGUCAAAGGC
This is a long non-coding RNA of Cydia fagiglandana, 971 nucleotides long. RefSeq lists it as uncharacterized. The transcript has 2 exons. Lineage: Eukaryota; Metazoa; Arthropoda; Insecta; Lepidoptera; Tortricidae. The record is from RefSeq and is a predicted model, not a curated record.